UACGUAGGGUGCAAGCGUUAAUCGGAAUUACUGGGCGUAAAGCGUGCGCAGGCGGUUGUGCAAGACAGAUGUGAAAAUCCCCCGGGCUCAACCUGGGAAUUGCAUUUGUGACUGCACGGCUAGAGUGUGUCAGAGGGGGGGUAGAAUUCCACGUGUAGCAGUGAAAAUGCGUAGAUAUGUGGAGGGAACACCGAUGGCGGAAAGGCAGCCCCCUCGUGGCAACACUGACGCUCAUGCACGAAAGCGUGGGGAGCAAAC
This 258-nucleotide ribosomal RNA is filed under the name uncultured bacterium. RNAcentral describes it as "partial 16S ribosomal RNA". It matches the Rfam family "Bacterial small subunit ribosomal RNA", at positions 524 to 773 of the family's 1533-position model. The record is from RNAcentral.